CCCUUAGAUGUUCUGGGCCGCACGCGCGCUAUACUGAUGCAUUCAACGAGUCUAAAACCUGCUCUGAUAGGGGUGGGUAAUCUUUUGAAUGUGCAUCGUGAUUGGGAUAGAUGAUUGCAAUUUUUCAUCUUCAACGAGGAAUGCCUAGUAAACGCAAGUCAUCAGCUUGCAUUGAUUACGUCCCUGCCCUUUGUACACACCGCCCGUCGCUCCUACCGAUUGAAUGAUCCGAUGAAUAUCAUGGAUUGAGGAUGCAAGUAGGUUCGCCUAUCUUCAUCUUCGAGAAGUGAAGUAAAUCUUAUCAUUUAGAGGAAGGAGAAGUCGUAACA
This 329-nucleotide ribosomal RNA is filed under the name uncultured eukaryote. RNAcentral's name for it is "partial 18S ribosomal RNA". It matches the Rfam family "Eukaryotic small subunit ribosomal RNA", at positions 1470 to 1796 of the family's 1831-position model. The record is from RNAcentral.